RNAcentral lists this ribosomal RNA (479 nucleotides) under uncultured bacterium. Its description in RNAcentral is "SSU rRNA". It matches the Rfam family "Bacterial small subunit ribosomal RNA", at positions 26 to 521 of the family's 1533-position model. The record is from RNAcentral.
AGGAUGAACGCUGGCGGCGUGCCUAACACAUGCAAGUCGAACGUCCUGUCUCGCAAGAGGCAGGGAGUGGCGGACGGGUGAGUACCACGUGGGUCAUCUACCGUGAGGUGAGGAAUACCGGCGAGAAAUCGCCGACAAGACCGCAUAGGCUCGAUGCAAGUCGAGCAAAGCUCUUUCGAGAGAGGGAGCGCCACACGAGGAGCCUGCGCCCGAUUAGCUAGCUGGUGGAGUAACGGUUCACCAGGGCGACGAUCGGUAGCUGGUCUGAGAGGACGAUCAGCCACACUGGGAUUGAGAACGGCCCAGACUCCUACGGGGGGCAGCAGUGAGGAAUUUUCGUCAAUGGGGGCAACCCUGAACGAGCAACGCCGCGUGCAGGAAGAAGGUUUUCGGAUCGUAAACUGCUUUUCUCGGGGAAGAGGAACGGACGGUACCCGAGGAAUCGAGCCCCGGCUAACCUACGUGCCAGCAGCCGCGGU